RNAcentral lists this ribosomal RNA (440 nucleotides) under uncultured bacterium. Its description in RNAcentral is "partial 16S ribosomal RNA". It matches the Rfam family "Bacterial small subunit ribosomal RNA", at positions 338 to 795 of the family's 1533-position model. The record is from RNAcentral.
CCUACGGGAGGCAGCAGUGGGGGAUAUUGCACAAUGGGGGGAACCCUGAUGCAGCGACGCCGCGUGGGUGAAGAAGCGCCUCGGCGCGUAAAGCCCUGUCAGCAGGGAAGAAAAUGACGGUACCUGAAGAAGAAGCCCCGGCUAACUACGUGCCAGCCGCCGCGGUAAUACGUAGGGGGCAAGCGUUAUCCGGAUUUACUGGGUGUAAAGGGGGCGCAGACGGCGAUGCAAGCCAGGAGUGAAAGCCCGGGGCCCAACCCCGGGACUGCUCUUGGAACGGCGUGGCUGGCGUGCAGGAGGGGCAGGCGGAAUUGCUGGGGUGGCGGGGAAAUGCGUGGAUAUCAGGAGGAACACCGGUGGCGAAGGCGGCCUGGUGGACUGCAACUGACGUUGAGGCCGGAAGGCGGGGGGAGCAAACAGGAUUAGAUACCCCAGUAGUC